AUUGAACGCUGGCGGAAUGCUUUACACAUGCAAGUCGAACGGCAGCAUAGGUGCUUGCACCUGAUGGCGAGUGGCGAACGGGUGAGUAAUACAUCGGAACGUGCCCAGUCGUGGGGGAUAACGUAGCGAAAGUUACGCUAAUACCGCAUACGAUCUAAGGAUGAAAGCGGGGGACCGUAAGGCCUCGCGCGAUUGGAGGGGCCGAUGUCAGAUUAGGUAGUUGGUGAGGUAAAGGCUCACCAAGCCGACGAUCUGUAGCUGGUCUGAGAGGACGACCAGCCACACUGGGACUGAGACACGGCCCAGACUCCUACGGGAGGCAGCAGUGGGGAAUUUUGGACAAUGGACGCAAGUCUGAUCCAGCCAUUCCGCGUGCAGGACGAAGGCCUUCGGGUUGUAAACUGCUUUUGUACGGAACGAAAACGCUCUUACUAAUACUAGGAGUCCAUGACGGUACCGUAAGAAUAAGCACCGGCUAACUACGCGCCAGCAGCCGCCGUAA
This 502-nucleotide ribosomal RNA is filed under the name uncultured bacterium. RNAcentral's name for it is "partial 16S ribosomal RNA". It matches the Rfam family "Bacterial small subunit ribosomal RNA", at positions 30 to 523 of the family's 1533-position model. The record is from RNAcentral.